Molecule: long non-coding RNA, 1053 nt
Organism: Piliocolobus tephrosceles (Ugandan red Colobus)
Lineage: Eukaryota; Metazoa; Chordata; Mammalia; Primates; Cercopithecidae
Source: Ensembl
GUGCGGAAAGAAAUGAUAAGGGUAUUGAAAAAGGUACGACAAGAAGUGAUAGGGGUAUUGAUACAGAAAUGGAUAUACAUGGUACAAGUUGCAAUAAUACUAACAAAUAUAAUAAACGAGAAAAAAGAAAAAAAAUUAAUCACAAAUGUAACAAUAGUACUAGUAAUUUUAGUGAUAAAAGUGUUAAUACAAAAAAAACGAUCGUAUAUUACGAACUUUAUCUUGUUCGAUUUACUUGCGACAUUAUUAUAAAUAUGAAUAAUAAAUUAAAUAUAAUUGUUAAUGGUUCAUCAGAUAGUGUUUUUUUAAAACGGUUAUUAUCACUUGAUUAUUUUUUUCAGUUUGUCCCCUAUAAAGAAAAUGAAAUUAUGUUCAAACAUAAUUUAUUAAUACAUAAAAAUGAGACAAAUACUUACCAAAAGAGUGCCACUACUUCCCCUGGCACUACUACUCCUCCUACCACUACUCAAACCAACAGUAUUAGUAGUAGUAAUCUUGAUGGUAAUAGUACUAGCUACAACAAUAAUAAUAAACAUAAUGACAAUAUAAUAUAUAUAAAUAAUAUAUACGGAUUAAAUAGUAACGAUUUAAUAAAAAUAAAAAUUUGUAUAAGUAGUAUGAAUGUUCUUUUUAAUUUUUAUGACAAUAGGAAUGGUCCAUGGUCAAAAGAAGAAGAUACAGGAGGAUCAGAAAACCAAACUGUAAAUAUACAACAAAAAAUUAAUUUAAGUCAGGUUGAAUUUUCAUUUUUUACUUUUCAUUACUUAAAUGAUAAAAUGCUUGAGGAAAAAAAAAAUUGUUUACAGUUUUUUAAUCCAUUGGACAUAGUACAGGUAAAAAAUGAGAAAAAAAAAAAAAAAAAAAAAAAAAAAAAAGUACCAUUGGUGGUGAUGGAAUGCUUGCAAAAUAUCAGUAUUAUAAUGGGGUAAAAAUGUAUGGGUCAUAUACAAACAUAAGUAAUGGUACGAAAACUAUCUUACAUAAUGGUAAGGAAAACAGUGUUGUUAAUUUAAAAAAGAAAAAGAGAAAAAGUGAUAUAAAAGGCCAAUGUUA